Molecule: ribosomal RNA, 455 nt
Filed under: uncultured bacterium
Lineage: Bacteria
Description: bacterial SSU rRNA
Rfam family: Bacterial small subunit ribosomal RNA
Source: RNAcentral
GCACAAGCGGUGGAGCAUGUGGUUUAAUUCGACGCAACGCGAAGAACCUUACCCAGGCUUGAACUGCAGGUGACAUCCUACGAAAGUAGGCUUCCGCAAGGACACCUGUAGAGGUGCUGCAUGGCUGUCGUCAGCUCGUGUCGUGAGAUGUUGGGUUAAGUCCCGCAACGAGCGCAACCCUUGUCUUCUGUUGCCAUCGGGUUAUGCCGGGCACUCUGAAGAGACUGCCGGUGACAAACCGGAGGAAGGUGGGGAUGACGUCAAGUCAGCAUGGCCUUUAUGUCUGGGGCCACACACGUGCUACAAUGGCCGGUACAAACCGUCGCGAGCCCGCGAGGGGGAGCUAAUCGGAGAAAGCCGGUCUCAGUUCGGAUUGUAGGCUGCAACUCGCCUGCAUGAAGUUGGAAUCGCUAGUAAUCGCGGAUCAGCACGCCGCGGUGAAUACGUUCCCGGGC